RNAcentral lists this non-coding RNA (19 nucleotides) under Arabidopsis thaliana (thale cress). The record is from RNAcentral. RNAcentral also lists the same sequence under 2 other names. Lineage: Eukaryota; Viridiplantae; Streptophyta; Magnoliopsida; Brassicales; Brassicaceae.
CGAAAGACUAAUCGAACCA